GACGAACGCUGGCGGCGUGCUUAACACAUGCAAGUCGAACGGAAAGGCCCUGCUUUUGUGGGGUGCUCGAGUGGCGAACGGGUGAGUAACACGUGAGUAACCUGCCCUUGACUUUGGGAUAACUUCAGGAAACUGGGGCUAAUACCGGAUAGGAGCUCCUGCUGCAUGGUGGGGGUUGGAAAGUUUCGGCGGUUGGGGAUGGACUCGCGGCUUAUCAGCUUGUUGGUGGGGUAGUGGCUUACCAAGGCUUUGACGGGUAGCCGGCCUGAGAGGGUGACCGGCCACAUGGGGACUGAGAUACGGCCCAGACUCCUACGGGAGGCAGCAGUGGGGAAUAUUGCACAAUGGGCGGAAGCCUGAUGCAGCAACGCCGCGUGCGGGAGGACGGCCUUCGGGUGGUAAACCGCUUUCGCCUGUGACGAAGCGUGAGUGACGUAAUGGGUAAAGAAGCACCGGCUAACUACGUG
This 467-nucleotide ribosomal RNA is filed under the name uncultured bacterium. Its description in RNAcentral is "partial 16S ribosomal RNA". It matches the Rfam family "Bacterial small subunit ribosomal RNA", at positions 28 to 507 of the family's 1533-position model. The record is from RNAcentral.